Molecule: ribosomal RNA, 254 nt
Filed under: uncultured bacterium
Lineage: Bacteria
Description: partial 16S ribosomal RNA
Rfam family: Bacterial small subunit ribosomal RNA
Source: RNAcentral
GACGUAGGGCGCGAGCGUUGUCCGGAUUUAUUGGGCGUAAAGAGCUCGUAGGCGGCUUGUCGCGUCGACUGUGAAAUCCCGAGGCUCAACUUCGGGCUUGCAGUCGAUACGGGCAGGCUAGAGUUCGGUAGGGGAGACUGGAAUUCCUGGUGUAGCGGUGAAAUGCGCAGAUAUCAGGAGGAACACCGAUGGCGAAGGCAGGUCUCUGGGCCGAUACUGACGUGAGGAGCGAAAAGCGUGGGGGAGCGAACAGG